AGACAUAUCAUAAUCGUUUCUUCAAUCGCAUAUCAUUUGCCUUCAUACAGUCGUGAUUCAUGCUAAAGAAGUUGUCUGUAUCAAAGAAGAGUUGCAGCUGUAGGAUGAAGAAUUUUUAUGUUUAUAUUUUGAUAUUUACACUUGUAAAUUUUUAGUUAGUAUAUUUAUUAUAUGAUACAUUUUAAAAUACCAUAUAAAGUACAGUACAGAAUGUAGAGGUGCCAAUUGGCACCUUAUUUUUUUUAAUCCAACCUCAUAAAUUUGCCACUGAUAUGAGUGGCAUUCCAAAGCUACUAAUAUCAGUGUGGAUUUA
Molecule: long non-coding RNA, 313 nt
Organism: Rosa chinensis
Lineage: Eukaryota; Viridiplantae; Streptophyta; Magnoliopsida; Rosales; Rosaceae
Exons: 2
Source: RefSeq, a predicted model, not a curated record